GCCCAGGACGAGGUGGGAGCAGGGGGAAGAGGCAGGAAUAGUGGGAGGGCAGCGAGAAGCCGCCCACGUGUGCCAGCGGCACCUGCACAGAAAGCGCCACUGGACCCGCGAAGCACACGAAGCAGAGGCUUUUCCUGUGCAGACUCAGCCGCUCGGAACUUGGCAUCCAGCUUCAGAGACGGUGGCUUGAAGCACCACGGAGACUGAGAGAAGAAAAUGCACCGAGGAGAAGCAAAUACCCCUUGGCAUUGCCGACACUGAUGGCUGAGAACCAGAACAGAUGGGGAAGCAAAGCCUCAACCCACCCCACAUCCUGCUGAGUGGAGCCGAGAUGGGGCCGGGGACAGGUGUGAGAUGGGAGCCAGCCUCACUGUCACCUGCGGAGGGAGGCUGUGUGCCUCAAAGCCACCUGCUGAAGAGAACAUGCCUCCUCUACUCCAUGGUCUCGGCACCCCUGUCAAAACUCAAUUGACGGGGAGCUCCCUGGAGGCUCAGCCGAUUAAGGAUCCAGUGUUGUCCCUGCUGUGGCUCAGGUUUGAUCCUGGUCCUGGAAUUUCUGCAUGCCUCGGGUAAGGCCAAAAAAAAAAAAAAAAAAAAAAAAAAAAAAAAAAAAAUCAAUUCACGAUAACGGUAAGAGUUUAUUUCUGAAAUAUCAGUACGAUUCCAUUAGUCUCCCUAUUUUUAUGCCAACGCUACACUGUCUUGACUUCUGUAGCUUUGUACGAAUGUUUGAAAUUUUGAAGAGUGAGUCCUCCCACCUGGUUAUUGGUUUAUGAGGUUGUUUUGGCGGAUCUGGGGCCCCUGGCAAUUCAGGAUCAGACUUCCCAUUUCUGGAGGGAAGAAGAGCAGAGGGAAUACUGGCGGGGACAGCCACGAAGCUCUCCAUCAGUUUGGGGAGCGCUUCCUUCUUCAGGACAGUAACGCCUCCGACCCGUGAACGGGAGGUUUCGUUCUGCUUACUCACAUCGUCUUUAAUUCCUUCCAACAACAUUCCGCAUUUCUCAGUGUGUAACUCUUGCACUUCCCUGCUUAAAUUUAUUCCUAAGUAUUUUUUCCUUUUCUUUUUUUUUUUUGUUUUGGAGGGGGUUCUCCCUGCUGCUUAGGGACGUUCCUGGGCCAGGGCCAGGGAUCAGAUCGGAGCUGCAGCUGCAGCAAUGCCGGAUCCUUUAACCCACGGUGCCAGGCCAGGGAUCGAACCCGCACCUGGCGCUGCAGAGACGCUGCCGUUCCCAUUGCACCAUAGCGGGAACUCCUAAGUAUUGUUUUAAAUUAUUUAUUUGUUUUUGGCCGCACCCAAGCAUGGAGAGGUCCCUGGGCCAGGGAUCACACCCACGCCACAGCGGUGCCAACUCCAGAUCCUUAACCGCUAGGACACCAGGGUUGUACCAUUGUACCCUUUUUGUGCUAUCGUGAAUGGAAUUGUCUCCUUAACUUCAUUUUCAGAUCGUUAUUGCUGGUGUAUAGAAAUACGACUAACUUUCUGCAGAUUGAUCUUCUACCUGUGGUCUCUCCGAACUCACUCAUUCGCGCCGGCGUUUUUUGUACACAUUUCUUCUGACUUUGCGAACAAGAUCGUGGCCUCUGCAGGUCACCUUGGCUGCCUUCGCUUUCCCUUUCUUGGCUACGUUCCCGGCGAGACCCUCUAACACAGCGCGCUGAAUAGAAGCACAGCGGCAGGCAUGCUUGUCCGCCUCCUCCUUUGGGGGGACCGAGCCGUGGUCUUCUUUUCUGGCCAUGACUUCGUCUGGUUCGGCUCGCAGGGUAGAAAGAACUGCGAAGCAUUCCUUCAUCUCGUGUUUUUGGAGGGUGGGGAGAAGGGUGGGUGCUAAUUCUCCUUUUGAUAUUUUCUGGCCGCCAGCAGUGAAGCCGUAGGAUCCCGGGCUUUGCUUCACCGUGAGUUGUAAUUAUUUAUUAUUAAUUCAAUCUCUUUGUUACAGGGUCUAUUCAGAUUCUCCAUUUCUUCACGAGUCACUACUGGCAGCCGCUGUCUUUUUAGAAAUGUGUCCAUUUCGCAUAAAUCACCCAAUUUGUUGGCACACUGUGGUUCAUAGGAUUUUUUCAAAAUUCUUUUAUUUUUCUGUAAUGUCAUCACUAAUGUCUCCUAUUUCAUCCCUGAUUUUAGUAAUUUGAUCUUCUCCUUCUCAUUCUAGUUGAUCAAUUUUCUUGAUCUUUCCAAAGGACCAAUUUUCUUUUUCAUGGAUUUGUCUCAGUUUUCAAAAUGCUCUAUUUCGUGCACUUCUGCUCUAAUAUUAUCGUCGCCUUCUGCUUGAUUUGGGUUUACUUGCUCUCUUUUUUCUAGUUUCUUUGGUGUCAAGUUAGGUUACAGACUUGCCAUAUUAUUCGUUUCCUUCUGAACACUUCUGUACUUCCGAAGUUUCCACACGUUGUGUUUUCAUUGGUCUCAAAAUACUUUCUAAGUUAUACUGUGAGUUCUUUUGUGAUCCAUUAAUUAUAAGGAGCGUACCAUUUCAAUAUUUUUUUCAACUUCCUAAAUUUCUUCCUGUUACUGAUUUUUAAUUUCUCUUGCCACGGUGGCAAGAGAACGUUUUUGCAUAUGAUUUCAAGCACUUUUUUUUUUUUUUUUUUGGUCUUUUUGCCUUUUCUUGAGCCACUCCCGCGGCAUAUGGAGGUUCCCAGGCUAGGGGUCUAACCAGAGCUGUAGCCGCCGGCCUACGCCAGAGCCACAGCAACGUGGGAUCCGAGCCGCGUCUGCAACCUACACCAUAGCUCACGGCAACGCCAGAUCCUUCACCCACUGAGCAAGGCCAGGGAUCGAACCCGCAACCUCCUGGUUCCUAGUCGGAUUUGUUAACCACUGAGGCACGACGGGAACUCCUCAAGCACUUUUUAAGUUUAUCGCGACAGUUAACCACCCGGUCUACUCUGCAGGACUCCCGUGUGCACUGGGGACGCUGCCGUGGGUGGCGUGUCCCAGAGACGCCUGCAGGGUCCCGUGGGUCACGCGAGUUGCUCAAGUCUCCUACCUCCUCCUGACCUGCCGUCUCGCUGCUUCGUCCAUGUGGAAAUCAGGCUACUGACAGCUGAAAGUCUCCAGUUAUUACGGUUGGAUGGUCCAUCUCACCUUUCCCCUGUGCUUUUGCCUCCCAAACGCCGGGACUCUGGGGUCAGGUUCAGGUGUGUUUGUAACGGUCACGUCCUCCGCAAGGUUUACGCUUCCACCGUCGCAAAGUGCCCCUCUGUCUCUGGCCUAACACUUGCCCUGAAGUCUACUUUGCCUCCCGUCGCUGGAGACACCCCCUCUGUUGUUGGCCGGCCCUUCCGCCUCAACCUACUUGCGUCUUUGAACGCAGUGUCUGUCUUUAGCCAACAGCACGUAGUAAGAUCAUGUUUUACUUCGUCUCGUCUGCCAUUCACUGCCUUUUCUUUUUUUUUCCUUUCGAGGGCUGCACCUGCAGCCUGUGGACAUUCUCGGGCUAGUUCUCAGCAUAUGGAAUUGCAGACGCAGCUGAGUGAGGCCAGGGAUUGAACCUGCCUCCUCAUGGAUACUCAUUGGGUUUGUAACCUGCUGAGCCGUACGGGAACUCCUGGGCUGUUCAUUUUCAAGGUCACCGCAGAACUGGAGAGUGGUGGGUGGGCCCAGGGCGCCUCAAGCCCCUCAGAGCGUGGAGGGGCGGAGAGAGUGGCACACUUGCCCAAUGAUAACGGGAAGAUAAGAUGGUGCAGCAGCCACAGAGCACAGUUCCUCAAAGUGCUGAAAAUAGUUGAUCUACCACGCGACCCAGUAAUUCUACCUCUGGGUCUGAACCCCAAGGAAUGGCAAGCAGGGCCCUGAAGGGCUCUCGAUGCCCCGUGUUCACGGCUGCCCUGUUCACAGCCGCUAAGACGGGAAAGCGACCCGCACAUCCACGGCCAGGGGGACGAACAAGCAGACUCCAUGGAGGGCGAUUCGGCCUUAAAACAGAAGGGAGUCUGAGGCUGCGAACGGGGACCCCGGGGACACGGUGGCAGUGAAGAAGCCAGUCGCAAAGACAGACACCGCGUGAUCCCGCUCAUACCCGCUUCUAGAGUCGCCAAAGUGACAGAGACAAACGUGCAGCGGGGUUUCCAGGGCUGAGUGGAGGGGACAGCGAGUUCCUGGCGCAAAGCUUCAGAGUUUCAGCUUCAGGAGCUCAGACGAGUUCUGCGGACGGAGGCAGUGACGGCUGCACAACAGUGGGGCGUACUUCAUGCCACUGGGCUGUCACUUGGCUGGUGACGACGGUAAAAACAAGACCUCACAGCUGUUCCUACCGAGAUUCGGCUAAUUCUCUUGACUGAAGAACAAAACACACAAACCAGCUCUCCAAAGACUGCCACAAGCGUGGGGUUAAUUUCCAGAGUACUGGAAAAGUCCGUUCCGACAAUUUUUGCCUGUUUUCUCAUGUUUUCAGAGGUCCUUGCUCCGCUGUUUUUGCUGAGGUCCUGGCAGGCCCCCUGGGCGGAGGAUGCGUGGCAGAUUCCGCACAGACAGGCCUGUGUUUCCCUCGGCCCAGCGGAGGGAAGAUCCGCGUGCGUGGCCGGACGGAGGCCCGGCUCCUCCCAGACCUGCGGUUGGCAGCUGGUGGCCUCCUCGGUAAAGCCGGGCUGCAGGCCUGGCCAGGGGUCACUCAGGGCCCCCGGUCCUUGGGCCCACUCGCGCCAGGCUCCAACGCAGGGGUGACCCUCGUGGAGGGUCAGCCGGGCAUCUCUGCAGGAGCGAUGGGAACCGAUGGGAACCGGGUGCUGGGGGUGGGGGUUCAGCGUGCCAGCACCCCCUCCAGUGCUUUCCUGGACCACAGAGGCCACAAUCGCUGGAUCAUGAGCUCCGUGACCUGAUUCAGGCCCACAACCCGAAGUGCUCAAAGAGGAGCUCCCGCUGUGGCAUAACAGGAUGGCACAGCAUCUUGGGAGUGCUGGGACGCAGGGCCGAUGCCCAG
Non-coding RNA from Sus scrofa (pig), 4916 nucleotides. The record is from RefSeq and is a predicted model, not a curated record. NCBI's taxonomy places the organism in Eukaryota, Metazoa, Chordata, Mammalia, Artiodactyla, Suidae.